Molecule: long non-coding RNA, 524 nt
Organism: Daphnia pulex (common water flea)
Lineage: Eukaryota; Metazoa; Arthropoda; Branchiopoda; Diplostraca; Daphniidae
Exons: 4
Source: RefSeq, a predicted model, not a curated record
UCAACUUAUGCAGAAAUUGAGAACACGACAAAGUCUAAGCUUCAUGGCUGUUGUAGCAUCAACGUGGUUUUGUUGCAGCCAGCUAGUGAGAAAGGUAUGAUGGAGUCAAAUUGAGCUGCAGCUGCUGCAUACAGUUUAUCAAGCUGUUGUUAUCGCUAUUGUCACAACAGGAAGACUUCUUGAAUUGGAGUUUUUGGUCAGUUGGAGCUGUUCCACCAGGUAGCGUGAGUGUCUUCAGAGACGCUUAGCGGCCAUUUUGAUCCAAGACGCAGCAGAAAUGGGUUGUUGGUUGUGACGUUUCUCACGAUGAAAAUUAAAAGGUGAUUUAGCACGUAGAAACCAAUUUGCCAAAUCAUUCAACUCAGACUUGGGAAGUGCCUGUACAUUUCCGAAAUGGCGUGCCUCGUGUGUCUCGCUGCCUGUUCUUUGGCUUACGUCUCACCCCAUUCAACAGGAAAAAGUAAAACAAACGCUGGUGGUUACCUUGUUGCAGCCAAAUGGUGAAAGGUGUGACAAAGACAGAU